RNAcentral lists this ribosomal RNA (497 nucleotides) under uncultured bacterium. RNAcentral's name for it is "partial 16S ribosomal RNA". It matches the Rfam family "Bacterial small subunit ribosomal RNA", at positions 29 to 507 of the family's 1533-position model. The record is from RNAcentral.
CAUGAACGCUGGCGGCGUGCCUAAUACAUGCAAGUCGAGCGAACAGACGAGGAGCUUGCUCCUCUGACGUUAGCGGCGGACGGGUGAGUAACACGUGGAUAACCUACCUAUAAGACUGGGAUAACUUCGGGAAACCGGAGCUAAUACCGGAUAAUAUAUUGAACCGCAUGGUUCAAUAGUGAAAGACGGUUUUGCUGUCACUUAUAGAUGGAUCCGCGCCGCAUUAGCUAGUUGGUAAGGUAACGGCUUACCAAGGCAACGAUGCGUAGCCGACCUGAGAGGGUGAUCGGCCACACUGGAACUGAGACACGGUCCAGACUCCUACGGGAGGCAGCAGUAGGGAAUCUUCCGCAAUGGGCGAAAGCCUGACGGAGCAACGCCGCGUGAGUGAUGAAGGUCUUCGGAUCGUAAAACUCUGUUAUUAGGGAAGAACAAAUGUGUAAGUAACUAUGCACGUCUUGACGGUACCUAAUCAGAAAGCCACGGCUAACUACGUG